AACACAUGCCUGGUUGCCAUCUGCAAACCUGGCUUUUUUCCAGGUGUUCUAGUUUAAUCAGUGAUACUGCUUUUCAUCAAACUGCAUAAACAAAACAUUGGAGUCCACCCUCGAAGCCUUUUUCCCCAUCUUGAAUUCACCAACUUCUCUAUAUUUCCACCGUUAUUUUCCUAUCCAAGCUAGUGUCAUGUCUUGCUUGAACUACAAGUCUCCAUCCAUUCUUGUCCCUUCCAAACCAGUUUAUAUUUUGCAGCCAAACUGGUCAUUUUAAUGUGUGAAUCGGAAUAGUAACUUACCUUUUUACUUCCUGUAGAUGUGGGUGCCUAUGUGUACACAAACAUGUGAGCUUGUACGCAUGCAUUUAAGAACUCUUAUUCCACAGUUGUUAGGAUGAAAUACCAAUUUUGAAUAUAUGGUUUAUAAUGCUGUAACAGGCAAAGGCUUGGCAGAAAACAGAUGACACACUCAAGUGAAUAAUUAAGAAGGAUUUAAUAAAAAGACUAUUUUAAAAAAUGUGGGCUAGGUUAAGGGAAAGCAGCAAAGGAUGUAAGGCACCCUGUGGUUAGAAACAGUAGGGAGCUAUCAACUCUUAGAAGUAAAGAGGCAAAGGAAGGAAGGAAGGGAACAUUACUGAAAAGGAAAGAGGGGAGGAGAGAGAGAGAGAAAGAAAGAGAGAGAGAGAGAGAAGAGGGCCAUCAUGCAUGAUCUGCUUUAAGUAGAGAGGCACAGCCACUGCUAACACAGGGCACAGCAAAGAAAGAGGUAGAGGAAUACAUUAUUUCCUCACUCUCAUUUCAAUAUCCAGUUUCCUGACAGUGCCUCCCGUUGGCUAAGGCACCACACCUGGAAGCUGGAGGGCAGGGAAGCUAUUGAUAGAGUUCUUAAAGGUUGCCCUUGUUGGAGAAGAAAGUAGGGCCGAUCUGGAGGACCACAUCCAGCAUAGAGAUUUUCAGCCCCAUGAUCUACUAGUCAGUCAUGUUAUGCCAUACCUUUCCCUAAUACUCCGUUCCAUCCACAUAGGUCUUCUUCUUUCAGUUACUCAGAUUUUACAUAUGCUGCUGUCUCCACCUAGAAAUGCCCCCAUGUCCAACAUUUUUCUUUCAGUAUGAAUUUAUAUUAUCCCAUAAUGUGUUCAUACUAUUUUUUUAGCCCAAUGGGUUAGUGAGCAGCAUAAUAAUUAGGAGUCCUUGGAAAGACAUUGACUCUGACCAGACAAGAUUAAGAAUCUCCAGUUGUCAUCUUUCAAUUUUUAUUUAGUAUUUUAUUUCAUAAACUUACGUUAUUAAUUGGCUUUCAAAACAAAUCAUGUAAAAUAAAAGGAGUCUUUCCUGUGUUUUUUGUGUGCAAAUCAAAAUGCGAAAUGAUAUAUUAUUAUAUUAUUAA
This 1383-nucleotide long non-coding RNA is filed under the name Pan troglodytes (chimpanzee). RNAcentral's name for it is "long non-coding RNA NONPTRT012441". Lineage: Eukaryota; Metazoa; Chordata; Mammalia; Primates; Hominidae. The record is from RNAcentral.